UACGAAGGGUGCAAACGUUAUUCGGAAUCACUGGGCGUAAAGGGUGCGUAGACGGUAUGUUAAGUUCGUCGUUAAAGGCUCCGGCCUAACCGGAGUACCGCGAUGAAAACUGGCGCACUAGAGGGUGAGAGAGAGAAGUGGAAUUCCUGGAGUAGCGGUAAAAUGCGUGGAUCUCAGGAGGAACACCAAUGGCGAAGGCAGCUUCUUGGCUCAUUCCUGACGUUGAGGCACGAAAGCGUGGGGAGCAAAC
RNAcentral lists this ribosomal RNA (250 nucleotides) under uncultured bacterium. RNAcentral's name for it is "partial 16S ribosomal RNA". It matches the Rfam family "Bacterial small subunit ribosomal RNA", at positions 524 to 773 of the family's 1533-position model. The record is from RNAcentral.